GACGAACGCUGGCGGCGUGCCUAAUACAUGCAAGUAGAACGCUGAAGAGAGGAGCUUGCUCUUCUUGGAUGAGUUGCGAACGGGUGAGUAACGCGUAGGUAACCUGCCUUGUAGCGGGGGAUAACUAUUGGAAACGAUAGCUAAUACCGCAUAACAAUGGAUGACACAUGUCAUUUAUUUGAAAGGGGCAAUUGCUCCACUACAAGAUGGACCUGCGUUGUAUUAGCUAGUAGGUGAGGUAACGGCUCACCUAGGCGACGAUACAUAGCCGACCUGAGAGGGUGAUCGGCCACACUGGGACUGAGACACGGCCCAGACCCCUACGGGAGGCAGCAGUAGGGAAUCUUCGGCAAUGGGGGCAACCCUGACCGAGCAACGCCGCGUGAGUGAAGAAGGUUUUCGGAUCGUAAAGCUCUGUUGUAAGUCAAGAACGAGUGUGAGAGUGGAAAGUUCACACUGUGACGGUAGCUUACCAGAAAGGGACGGCUAACUACGUGCCAGCAGCCGCGGUAAUACGUAGGUCCCGAGCGUUGUCCGGAUUUAUUGGGCGUAAAGCGAGCGCAGGCGGUUUGAUAAGUCUGAAGUUAAAGGCUGUGGCUCAACCAUAGUUCGCUUUGGAAACUGUCAAACUUGAGUGCAGAAGGGGAGAGUGGAAUUCCAUGUGUAGCGGUGAAAUGCGUAGAUAUAUGGAGGAACACCGGUGGCGAAAGCGGCUCUCUGGUCUGUAACUGACGCUGAGGCUCGAAAGCGUGGGGAGCGAACAGGAUUAGAUACCCUGGUAGUCCACGCCGUAAACGAUGAGUGCUAGGUGUUGGAUCCUUUCCGGGAUUCAGUGCCGCAGCUAACGCAUUAAGCACUCCGCCUGGGGAGUACGACCGCAAGGUUGAAACUCAAAGGAAUUGACGGGGGCCCGCACAAGCGGUGGAGCAUGUGGUUUAAUUCGAAGCAACGCGAAGAACCUUACCAGGUCUUGACAUCCCGAUGCUAUUUCUAGAGAUAGAAAGUUACUUCGGUACAUCGGUGACAGGUGGUGCAUGGUUGUCGUCAGCUCGUGUCGUGAGAUGUUGGGUUAAGUCCCGCAACGAGCGCAACCCCUAUUGUUAGUUGCCAUCAUUCAGUUGGGCACUCUAGCGAGACUGCCGGUAAUAAACCGGAGGAAGGUGGGGAUGACGUCAAAUCAUCAUGCCCCUUAUGACCUGGGCUACACACGUGCUACAAUGGUUGGUACAACGAGUUGCGAGUCGGUGACGGCAAGCUAAUCUCUUAAAGCCAAUCUCAGUUCGGAUUGUAGGCUGCAACUCGCCUACAUGAAGUCGGAAUCGCUAGUAAUCGCGGAUCAGCACGCCGCGGUGAAUACGUUCCCGGGCCU
Molecule: ribosomal RNA, 1369 nt
Filed under: uncultured bacterium
Lineage: Bacteria
Description: bacterial SSU rRNA
Rfam family: Bacterial small subunit ribosomal RNA
Source: RNAcentral